Mycena metata is the source of this 91-nucleotide non-coding RNA. The record is from the annotation of a GenBank genome assembly. Lineage: Eukaryota; Fungi; Basidiomycota; Agaricomycetes; Agaricales; Mycenaceae.
GGCUUGGUAGUGCAACGGUUAGCACGCAUGAAUUGCAUAGGUGAUUCCAUUGGCUCUUCACGAGUCCUUUGUUCGACUCGGAGUCAGGCCU